This is a long non-coding RNA of Lagopus muta (rock ptarmigan), 1107 nucleotides long. RefSeq lists it as uncharacterized. The transcript is spliced from 3 exons. The record is from RefSeq and is a predicted model, not a curated record. NCBI's taxonomy places the organism in Eukaryota, Metazoa, Chordata, Aves, Galliformes, Phasianidae.
GAUUUUAUGGGAUCACAUCGAGCAUCAGACUCUCCCACAGUACUGAGCAGGACGCCAGCCCUGCAGGAGCCAUAUGGAGCCGGCCGUGCUGCCUGGCUUCUCCUAUGGUGCGAAUUGGAGCGGUUUUGGAGCUGCUCCCCCAUGCUGGCAGCCCUCUGGGGGGAUCCCAUGCUUGAGGACUCCUCCACGUGCCCUGGGCUCAGCCCCUCUUGGGCAGAUGUCUGCUGAUGGAGGGACCCCAAGGAGCUGCACCCCGACUGACAGGUGCAGGAGGAGCAGGGAAAUCUCCACCAGCAUUUCUGGGCACUCUCAGAAUUUAUUGAGACAACUCCUGUGGGAUGCUACAUCAUGUCAUCCAAGUCUUCCCUAUUGACUCUCUUCUGCCGCCGCUGAGUGAAGAAAUAUGAUAGCAGGAGGGAUAAUGAAGCCGACGUUUUCUUCAAGUCAAACUGAUUCUCUCCUAAGAUGGGAUAAAAGGCCUGGGAAGUGAGAGGACGGCGUUCUGCAUCGAUAACCGUUUCCUUCCUGCAACGCGCCGCUUCCAUGAGACCUCCCAAACUCCUCAGCCUCGGGCCCCAGGAGAUGCUGUUGCUUUGGAGUUAGGGUUCAUCCUGGAUGCAGUCCCACCGCCCUGCCAGUGGGCUUUCCUCUGCUCCCUGCAGCUCUGCUGGGUCUGAUCCGCUCGGGGCAGCUCUGAUGCUGAUGAUGAACAGCUGGGAGAAAGCAAUCUCAGUGCCACCUCUCCUGCACCACUUCCAGCAUCGUCAGUGGGGAAAAGGGGAAAACUAGCAGCUGUGCUCUGCUGUGCCGCUCAUCAGCUGCAGUGUGAGGGCAGGAAGGGGCCGUGGGACGCCGGGCUGUGAGGGGAGCAGCGCUUCGCCCCGCUCCAGUGUUCCUAUUGCCAACAGCCAACAGCUGUCAGGCAGCUGCUGCACUGAAAUGCCAAAGCCCCGCUGGGUGCCAAGCGCUGGGAGCAGGAUGGGGCUGCAGGGCAGUGGCUUUCUGAAGUCCCAAUGGAUAUUCACAGAAUCCACGGAGGGAACAUCCUCAGCAAAGGCAUUCACCAAAUGUCACAUCUCCCCGGCAGCCCUAAAUAACGCCGUAACC